Molecule: long non-coding RNA, 2599 nt
Filed under: Podarcis lilfordi (Lilford's wall lizard)
Lineage: Eukaryota; Metazoa; Chordata; Lepidosauria; Squamata; Lacertidae
Source: RNAcentral
GUUUUUCAGAAAUGUUUAUAGGUAUAGAUAAACUGGAAAUGUUGAAGGAAUGAUGCAGAGAGAAAAUAGGACAGCUACCUAAAGUGAUAGCCUUAUCACUGUUUUAAAAAUAUUUCACUCAUAGUGUGCUUCCCAAAGUAACAUGCUACCCAAAUGCUCAUGGCACCAAAGAAAAUAUUAAUUCCACUGUUACAACCUGUAGUUUUCUCUCUUCAACCUUAUGACUAAUACAAAAUAAUCUGGUGCACACAAAUAAAGACUCAGGAAAAUAAAUUGAUGAAAGAAGCAUUUUCUUUCUUCUAAAAGAAUCCUGUAAAAUGCUGUUUUCAUGAAGACCAUUUCAAAGGUUUACACACAGAAUGGGAGUUUAAAGAUAUGCAGUCUUGAAGGAAAUAAUCAGCCCACAUUGUGGUUUCUUCAACAGCUGUAAUCUUGCUUGUGAUUAUUACUAAUUGCUCUUUCAGUUUUACAAAAAUAAAAAUAGACGCGAUACCCCAUAAAUUACCCAAACACAUCCACAUUAAUCUGUAUACAGUUAGCCAUUCUUCUAACUCUUUCCUAGCUACUUAGGUACCUACUGAAAGAGAAUAGCAGCUAUUUAAUCAAGCUUCUCCUGGCACUGUGUUCCAAUAUUGUUUCCUAUCUAGCCUCAACAAUAAAAGGACAGGAAUAUAAAGAGACAUUCAGAACAAGAUUUCAUGUGGUUUCUGACCACAAAGUUCCAUCAUGAGAAUAAAAGAAGUAGAGUGAAUAUUUAGUCAAAGUCGAGAAUACCAGCAAAGAUUAGUUGUUGUUUUUUUAUAUCCUACACUGUCAACAUGCGUUUAUAUUCUCAGGGUGGCUAGUGUGAUAGGAAUUUUGGGGUCUUAGAUAUAUGGUAAUGUUCAUAACUGCAUGUACAUAGAUCAGCACAGGAAGACCAACCUGGAACCAUUUUGAUUCCUAAACUGACCAAAUGUUUUCUUUGAAAGGUCAAAGUGGGAAACCUCCCCAUUGUCUUUUCCUUCACAAAUCCUGUCUUAAGAGUAUGUCUGUUUGAAUAGGGUGUGAGCCUGUGACCUGGCCCAGGAACUAAGUAUUUAUCAUUACAAAAGACUGGCCAGGCUACCCAGGAAAUCCAAUCAAGUAACCUGCCAGACAGGAGAUAAACAAGGACAGGAGAAAAAACAACAUUCAAAUGUUCUGUUUUGGACCGCCUUUUCUGUGAUGUAGGUGUGAUGUAUCUGAGGGGUGGUCUUAGGUUACACCCCUUCUGUGAUGUAUGUAUGAUGUUUCUGGGGGUGGUCUUGAUCUACAGGAUGGGAAUUUCAAAAGUCUUUAUAAGGCCUUGCAUGCCAUUUUUCUGGGUCCCUCCUCUCUCCUGCGGGUGAGGGGAGCACCCUGUUGCAACAGAUUAAUAAAGAUCAAGCUUACUAGCUGCUUUGCUUCUCAAUAUUCUCUGGUUGGCCUCUGUUAUUCUCUCCUACCAAUAGGGAACCUAUGUAAGGACUCUAUAUGGGCUCUUGGAUACCCCAUAAGGGAAAAGGGCAUAUUUUUGUUUACAACACUAGCAGCACUAGCAGAGCAUUACUAUGAAGUCCACAGUUAGAUGAAGAUACAAUUAUUAGGACCAACCAAAAGUCACAAAAAUGUGACAUAAGUCCUAAUCAGGCAAGAUGUUAUGUGAAGCAGGAGGUGAUGGAAUGAGAAGAAAGGAAAUACAACAGUUAGGCUAGAUGUCAUAGGCCUGAGAACAAACCAACCUCAUUGCUACAACAUCUAGCUUUAUUUUUGUACCUUUGUUAUUUUGUUGUCUUUUCUCAUUCUGUCACUCCUUGCUUUGAGUAACAUCCUGACCAAUGAAGUGUUCUAGAAAACUCAAGUUUUCUAUUUUCAAGUCCUAUUUUUGUGACUUUUUGGUUGGUCAUAAGAGUUGAAUGGUUUGCCAAUUUUGUUUUUCUCAGUUUCUCAUUUUUCCAAUCUGAAAUUCAGUUCUAAAUCACAUUUUUGCAGCAAUUUGCUUUUAAAAAAACAUCACAAAAGUACAUCAUCACUUUCGUAUGCAAUUUGACUAAUUUUCAUAUUUUUACAACUAAUGUUCUCUGAUAUAAUGCAUCUUCUAUGUUAUUUUCAUAAAUAUAUUUUUGUCCACACUUUCCCCUAAUAUAUGCAUUUUUUUGUAAAUAUUGUUUGGUUGGAGGACUCCAUCACAAAAUUCAGAGGAAUGUGAAUUUUGAAGGAUGAUUGUGCUUUGCUUGUCAUUUCAAAAAGUACAAAUUCCUCUUCCAUCCCUACCUAUAAUAAAGGCAUUACCCAACUAUGGACUGCAGCUUUUUCUUAUGGACCAGCACAACCACCUUUGUUUUUAAUUAGAAACUACUAAUUGAAUUUUCCCCCUCAUAGCAUAUCUACAGCAGUGUGUCUGUUAGACAUGGUACUAUUUUAUUAUUUUACUCCUGUGGCUUUGGAAAUGGUUUUAUGCUAGCUAAAUUAAAUUGUAAUGUAUUAUAGGAUUUUGCAGGGGCUUUCUUAUUAGUUUUAGAUUAUAUGUUGUAACAUAAUGAUAUGCAAUGUGAUUUAUGUUUUAUUGUUAUACUGCUGGUCCAGUUUAUAAAUAUUU